Molecule: ribosomal RNA, 254 nt
Filed under: uncultured bacterium
Lineage: Bacteria
Description: partial 16S ribosomal RNA
Rfam family: Bacterial small subunit ribosomal RNA
Source: RNAcentral
UACGUAGGGGGCUAGCGUUUGUCCGGAUUUAUUGGGCGUAAAGAGCGUGUAGGCGGCCAGGUAGGUCUGGUGUGAAAACUCGAGGCUUAACCUCGAGAUGUCAUCGGAAACCAUCUGGCUAGAGUCCGGAAGAGGAGAGUGGAAUUCCUGGUGUAGCGGUGAAAUGCGCAGAUAUCAGAAAGAACACCAAUGGCGAAAGCAGCUCUCUGGGACGGUACUGACGCUGAGACGCGAAAGCGUGGGGAGCGAACAGG